RNAcentral lists this long non-coding RNA (1056 nucleotides) under Nicotiana benthamiana. RNAcentral describes it as "long non-coding RNA (NBEN_LNC034133)". Lineage: Eukaryota; Viridiplantae; Streptophyta; Magnoliopsida; Solanales; Solanaceae. The record is from RNAcentral.
ACUACUAAGCUUCCGGGUAGGCUGACUAGCUAACUUUGGCAUUGAAAGUUCGCUAGGCCGGACAGAUCGUCGUGUUUGAGUUACGGUCUCGUCACACUAGGGUAGAGAGGCUGUUUCCAAAUAGACUCCGGCAUAAGAGUAUCUUACUCAAAAUCUUUGCUGGUAAGAGUAUCUUACUCAAAAUAUGUGCAAAAGUUUGGGAGCUGUGAUUCUCUGUCCAGCUGUUUUGAGUUAGUUUCAAAUUGUCAUCAACCUUGGGAGUAAGGAAAUGCUUAACAGGAAUGCUGAAAAAAUUGAGAAUAUAUGUUUUUCCAUGAUAGAACCAAUGCAGUUUUUUAAGGAUUGUCAUGUAUGUUAUGAAAAAAGUGUUGAAAAGGAAAGAAUUCUACUUCAGAUUUGAAUGCAUGAUUUUUGUAAAGCCAAUCAACUUGAAACGGGGAGGGGAGCUUUGGUGUAGCUGGUAAAGUUACUGUCAUGCGACCAUGAAGUCUAGGGUUCAAACUGUGGAAAUACCCUCUUGCAAAAUACAUGGUAAAGCUGCGUACAAUACACCCUUGUGGUCUGACACUUCCCCGGAUCCCGUGCAUAGUAGGAGUUUAGUGCACUGGGGUGACCUGCCCUUUUAAUGAACUUGAAACUGGAAGCAUCAUUUCUUUAAAAUGAUUAAUAUAUUUGCUGGUUAAAAGGUAUCUCUGUAAAGUGUAUGAUUAGUAACAACAACAACAACCCAGUAUAAUCCCACUUAGUGGGGUCUGGGGAGGUAGUAUGUACGCAGACCUUACCUCUGCCCUAAGAUAGAGAGGUUGUUUCCAAAUAGACCCCCGACAGUCUUCCCUCCAAGAACUUCCCACCUUGCUCUUGGGGAGACUCGAACUCACAACCUAAAUUUAAUUUAUAUAUAUUGGUAGUGUACAGCUUUUUUAACACUAUAAGAAUAUUUAUUUUACCUAUUAUAGGGAAUUAUUUCCUUUUUUCCAUAUGUUUAAGUUUAUAAUUAUCUGUUAUUGUAGGUCAUUUCUAACCUGCUAGUGCACAAAUUCUGGCUCCACUUUGAAA